UUGCUAGUUGCACUCCUCUCUGU
Molecule: microRNA, 23 nt
Filed under: Homo sapiens (human)
Lineage: Eukaryota; Metazoa; Chordata; Mammalia; Primates; Hominidae
Description: hsa-miR-449c-3p
Gene: hsa-miR-449c-3p
Source: miRBase by way of RNAcentral